RNAcentral lists this transfer RNA (76 nucleotides) under Alcanivorax borkumensis. Its description in RNAcentral is "tRNA-Glu". It matches the Rfam family "tRNA". Rfam says of the family: Transfer RNA (tRNA) molecules are approximately 80 nucleotides in length. Their secondary structure includes four short double-helical elements and three loops (D, anti-codon, and T loops). Further hydrogen bonds mediate the characteristic L-shaped molecular structure. tRNAs have two regions of fundamental functional importance: the anti-codon, which is responsible for specific mRNA codon recognition, and the 3' end, to which the tRNAs corresponding amino acid is attached (by aminoacyl-tRNA synthetases). tRNAs cope with the degeneracy of the genetic code in two manners: having more than one tRNA (with a specific anti-codon) for a particular amino acid; and 'wobble' base-pairing, i.e. permitting non-standard base-pairing at the 3rd anti-codon position. Lineage: Bacteria; Pseudomonadati; Pseudomonadota; Gammaproteobacteria; Oceanospirillales; Alcanivoracaceae. RNAcentral also lists the same sequence under 51 other names. The record is from RNAcentral.
GUCCCCUUCGUCUAGUGGCCCAGGACACCGCCCUUUCACGGCGGUAACAGGGGUUCGACUCCCCUAGGGGACGCCA